AUUGAACGCUGGCGGCAGGCCUAACACAUGCAAGUCGAGCGGAUGAAGGGAGCUUGCUCCUGGAUUCAGCGGCGGACGGGUGAGUAAUGCCUAGGAAUCUGCCUGGUAGUGGGGGAUAACGUCCGGAAACGGGCGCUAAUACCGCAUACGUCCUGAGGGAGAAAGUGGGGGAUCUUCGGACCUCACGCUAUCAGAUGAGCCUAGGUCGGAUUAGCUAGUUGGUGGGGUAAUGGCCUACCAAGGCGACGAUCCGUAACUGGUCUGAGAGGAUGAUCAGUCACACUGGAACUGAGACACGGUCCAGACUCCUACGAGAGGCAGCAGUGGGGAAUAUUGGACAAUGGGCGAAAGCCUGAUCCAGCCAUGCCGCGUGUGUGAAGAAGGUCUUCGGAUUGUAAAGCACUUUAAGUUGGGAGGAAGGGCAGUAAGUUAAUACCUUGCUGUUUUGACGUUACCAACAGAAUAAGCACCGGCUAACUUCGUG
Molecule: ribosomal RNA, 484 nt
Filed under: uncultured bacterium
Lineage: Bacteria
Description: partial 16S ribosomal RNA
Rfam family: Bacterial small subunit ribosomal RNA
Source: RNAcentral